CCUUCGGGAGCUUAUACAGGUGUUGCAUGGCUGUCGUCAGCUCGUGUCGUGAGAUGUUCGGUUAAGUCCGCUAACGAGCGCAACCCUCGCCGUAUGUUACAAGUGUCAUACGGGACUGCCGGUAAAAAGCCGGAGGAAGGUGAGGAUGAUGUCAAGUCAGCAUGACCUUUAUAUCCAGGGCUACACACACGCUACAAUGGUCUGUACAAUUGGUUGCCAAGCCGCGAGGCGGAGCCAAUCCGUAAAGCAGGCCUCAGUUCAGAUUGCAGUCUGCAACUCGACUGCAUGAAGCCGGAGUUGCUAGUAACCGCAGGUCAGCAAUACUGCGGUGAAUACGUUCCCGGGUCUU
This 349-nucleotide ribosomal RNA is filed under the name uncultured Anaerolineaceae bacterium. Its description in RNAcentral is "bacterial SSU rRNA". It matches the Rfam family "Bacterial small subunit ribosomal RNA", at positions 1014 to 1382 of the family's 1533-position model. Lineage: Bacteria; Bacillati; Chloroflexota; Anaerolineae; Anaerolineales; Anaerolineaceae. The record is from RNAcentral.